Molecule: ribosomal RNA, 436 nt
Filed under: Babesia microti
Lineage: Eukaryota; Apicomplexa; Aconoidasida; Piroplasmida; Babesiidae
Description: SSU rRNA
Rfam family: Eukaryotic small subunit ribosomal RNA
Source: RNAcentral
AAUUACCCAAUCCUGACACAGGGAGGUAGUGACAAGAAAUAACAAUACAGGGCUUAAAGUCUUGUAAUUGGAAUGAUGGGAAUCUAAACCCUUCCCAGAGUAUCAAUUGGAGGGCAAGUCUGGUGCCAGCAGCCGCGGUAAUUCCAGCUCCAAUAGCGUAUAUUAAAGUUGUUGCAGUUAAGAAGCUCGUAGUUGAAUUUCUGCCUUGUCAUUAAUCUCGCUUCCGAGCGUUUUUUUAUUGACUUGGCAUCUUCUGGAUUUGGUGCCUUCGGGUACUAUUUUCCAGGAUUUACUUUGAGAAAACUAGAGUGUUUCAAACAGGCAUUCGCCUUGAAUACUACAGCAUGGAAUAAUGAAGUAGGACUUUGGUUCUAUUUUGUUGAUUAUUGAGCCAGAGUAAUGGUUAAUAGGAGCAGUUGGGGGCAUUCGUAUUUAA